GGUCACAUUAUGAUUUGGAAACAAACAAUACUAAAAUCCCAGUGGCUUAAUACACAACAGUUUAUUUAUUUGUUCUCUCAAGGUCUGCUGAGGGUACAGGCAACUUUCCAGGGCAGCUGUCUUCCAUGUGGGAGCUCAGAACCUCAGGCUAAUUCAAUCAUGUGGCAUGUCCAUAACAAGUUCUUCUGGGAUUGCUGCGGCAGUGAAGAAAAUCUGCACGGUCCUAUAGUGAGAUUUCAGAUACAUUCUCUAUUAAAGAACUGUCUUGGGAGCUACAUCAGAUUCCUUGAAUGGAAGCAGGUGAAUUGUUGUAAAAUGUUUCUUCUUAAGUUGGAGUUUGAGGACUUUGAAAUAUUUCCCUGUUUCUCAAAGCAAUAUGGGCAGAUAAUAUAUAGUCCGUGUGUUCCUUACCUGUGUGUAGGCUCUGUGUAGUCAUCAGUACCACUAUCAUGUAACCUUUAUUUAUCCCCUGUUAUGUGCUUGGAAGUAAAACAAAAGAACGAUGAAUAUUUCUUUUUAAACAUGUUUAGAUGCAACCGCUCCUAAGCAUACUUGAAUAUUUCAGCUAUGACGAAGAAAUGGAAAGGUGUCAUUGAUUUAUUCAUGUGCGUUGGAUGCUUUGGCCCACCGUACAACUUCAAAUAUUGUUGGAAUCAAUCCAUUUCCUUACUUUACUAAGUACCUGCCAG
This 689-nucleotide long non-coding RNA is filed under the name Vulpes vulpes (red fox). RNAcentral describes it as "lncRNA (ENSVVUG00000000898.1)". The record is from RNAcentral. Lineage: Eukaryota; Metazoa; Chordata; Mammalia; Carnivora; Canidae.